This 253-nucleotide ribosomal RNA is filed under the name uncultured bacterium. RNAcentral describes it as "partial 16S ribosomal RNA". It matches the Rfam family "Bacterial small subunit ribosomal RNA", at positions 524 to 776 of the family's 1533-position model. The record is from RNAcentral.
UACAGAGGGUGCUAGCGUUGUUCGGAAUCAUUGGGCGUAAAGGGUAGGUAGGUGGUCUCAUUUGUCUGGGGUGAAAGCCCAGGGCUUAACCCUGGAAGUGCCCCGGAAACGGUGAGACUGGAGUAUUGGAGAGGGUCGUGGAAUUCCCGGUGUAGCGGUGAAAUGCGUAGAGAUCGGGAGGAACACCAGAGGCGAAGGCGGCGACCUGGACAAUUACUGACACUCAACUACGAAAGCGUGGGGAGCAAACAGG